Molecule: long non-coding RNA, 448 nt
Organism: Gallus gallus (chicken)
Lineage: Eukaryota; Metazoa; Chordata; Aves; Galliformes; Phasianidae
Exons: 3
Source: RefSeq, a predicted model, not a curated record
GUCAUGAGGGGGGCCAGCUUGGACUACUGGGAGGUGCACUUCAAACUCUUCAGGACACUGCAGAAUGGAAGGGGUCAGAGAGAUGGGCCAUGAUGAUGGAUUUUGCAUGUCCUCAAACUGGAGGAGUCCAAUUAUAACUCAAGAUAACAGCUCAACUACUAGAGAGGAGAGUCUCUUUUGAGAAAUAUCCGUUACUGUAUGCUACGGGGAACAUGAAAAUCAACAGACUUUGUACCAGUGUUUGAAAAUGAAAUGAAAAAAGCAUGGUGUCUCUUGGAGACUUUCUGAAAACAAGGUUAGCUAAAUAUGUCCUUAAAGUAAAUUUGUCAGAUGCAAGAACUGUGUUGCAGAUGUUUUUGGCAUGAUGUUUUUUUUAAAUGUUUUAAAUGAGUUUAGACUGACUGAAUGGAACUAGUGGUUAUAUAUGUGUAAAUGGGUAUAUCACAGA